This 501-nucleotide ribosomal RNA is filed under the name uncultured bacterium. RNAcentral describes it as "partial 16S ribosomal RNA". It matches the Rfam family "Bacterial small subunit ribosomal RNA", at positions 29 to 507 of the family's 1533-position model. The record is from RNAcentral.
AUUAACGCUGGCGGCGUGCCUAACACAUGCAAGUCGAGCGGCAGCGAGUUUUACACUGAAUUCUGGAAGCUUCUAGUUGAAAGAGAAGAUUUAUUCAAGAAUUUUGUGUAAAAUGUCGGCGAGCGGCGGACGGCUGAGUAACGCGUGGGAACGUACCCCAAAGUGAGGGAUAACGCAUCGAAAGGUGUGCUAAUACCGCAUAUGGUCUUCGGAUUAAAGCCUUCGGGCGCUUUGGGAACGGCCUGCGUAAGAUUAGAUAGUUGGUGGGGUAAUGGCCUACCAAGUCGACGAUCUUUAACUGGUUUGAGAGGAUGAUCAGUCAGACUGGAACUGAGACACGGUCCAGACUCCUACGGGAGGCAGCAGUGAGGAAUCUUCCACAAUGGGCGAAAGCCUGAUGGAGCAACGCCGCGUGCAGGAUGAAGACCUUCGGGUUGUAAACUGCUUUUAUAAGUGAGGAUUAUGACAGUAACUUAUGAAUAAGGAUCGGCUAACUACGUG